This 407-nucleotide ribosomal RNA is filed under the name uncultured bacterium. RNAcentral's name for it is "partial 16S ribosomal RNA". It matches the Rfam family "Bacterial small subunit ribosomal RNA", at positions 30 to 526 of the family's 1533-position model. The record is from RNAcentral.
AUUGAACGCUGGCGGCAGGCCUAACACAUGCAAGUCGAGCGGAGCGGCGGACGGGUGAGUAAUGCCUAGGAAUCUGCCUGGUAGUGGGGGAUAACGUCCGGAAACGGGCGCUAAUACCGCAUACUAUCAGAUGAGCCUAGGUCGGAUUAGCUAGUUGGUGGGGUAAAGGCCUACCAAGGCGACGAUCCGUAACUGGUCUGAGAGGAUGAUAAGUCAGAUCGGAGAUGAAACACGUUCAAGAGUCCUACGUGAGGCAGCAGGGGGGAAGAUUGGACAAUGGGCGAAAGCCUGAUCCAGCCAUGCAGCGUGUGUGAAGAAGGUCUGCGGAUUGUAAAGCACUUGAAGUUGGAAGGCGUUCCCAAAAGAAUAAGCACCGGCUAACUACGGACCAGCAGCCGCGGUAAUAC